This 75-nucleotide transfer RNA is filed under the name Cricetulus griseus (Chinese hamster). It matches the Rfam family "tRNA". Rfam says of the family: Transfer RNA (tRNA) molecules are approximately 80 nucleotides in length. Their secondary structure includes four short double-helical elements and three loops (D, anti-codon, and T loops). Lineage: Eukaryota; Metazoa; Chordata; Mammalia; Rodentia; Cricetidae. The record is from Rfam by way of RNAcentral.
GCCCAGCUAGCUCAGCUGGUAUAGAGCAUGAGACUCUUAAUCUCAGGGUCAUAGGUUCCUGCCUCACAUUGGGCA